CCCCCCCCCCCCCCCCCCCCCCCCCCCCCCCCCCCCCCCCCCCCCCCCCCCCCCCCCCCCCCCCCCCCCCCCCCCCCCCCCCCCCCCAGAGCCCUCCCCGAGUGCCCUGAGACCCCAGAUCCAAAUUAACCCCAGAGCCCUCCCCGAGUGUCCUGAGACCGCAGACCCAAAUGGCGUCAGAGGCCAGACCCAAAUUAACCCCAGAGCCCUCCCGAGUGCCCUGAGACCCCAGACCCAAAUUAACCCCAGUGCCCUCCACGAGUGCCCAGAGACCCCUGACCAAAAAAGGGGACAGAGCCCUCCUUAAGUACCCUGAGACCAAAGACCCAAUUCCACCUUAGAGCCUUCCCCAAGCGCCCAGAGACCCCAGACCCAAAUUUACUCCAGAGCGCUCCCCGACUGCCCUGUCACCCCAGACCCUAAUGAGGGACAGAGGCCUCCCCAAGUAUCCUGAGACCCCAAACCCAAUUCCACAUUAGAGCCCACCCCGAGUGCCCUGAGACCCCCGAACCAAAAAGGGGACAGAGCCAUCCCUAAGUGCCCUGAGAUCCCAGACCCAAUAUAACCCCAGAGCCGUCCGCAAGGGCCCGGAGACCCCUUACCCAAAUUAUCCACAGAGACCUCGACGAGUAUCCUGAGACCCCAGAGCCAAAUUAUCGCCAGAGCCCUCCUUGACUGCCCUGGGCCCCCAAACCCAAAUUACCCCUAGAGCCCUCCCGGAGUGCCCUGAGACCCCAGACGCAAAUGCAGGACCGAGCCCUCCCCGACUGCCCGAAGACCCCACAUCCAAAUAAACCUUAGAGCCUUCCCUGAGUGCCCUGAAACCCCAGAACCAAAUUAAUCCCAGAGCUCUCGCCGAGUGCCCUGGGAACCCAGACCCGAUUUGGGGGCACAGCCAGCCCCGAGUGCCCUGAGACCCCAGACACAAAUUAACCCCAGAGCCCUCCCCGUGUAUCCUGAGACCCCAGACCCAAAUGGGGGACAGAGCCCGUGUUGAGAGCCCUGACACCCCAGAACUAAAUUGACCCUAAAGCCCUCACCAAGUGGCCUGAGACCCGAGACAGAAUUAACCCCAGACCCCUCCCCGAGUGCCCUGAGUCCCCAGAACCAAGUAAUGCCCAGAGCCGUCCCCGAGUGCCCUGAGACCCCAGACCCAAAUGGGGACAGAGCACUCCAAGAGAGCCCUGAGACCUCAGACCUAAAUUAACCCCAGAUCACUCUCCAAGUGCCCUCAGACCUAAGACCCAAAUGGGGGACACAGCCUUCCCCGAGUCUCUUGAGACCACAGACCCAAAUUAACCCCAGAACCCUCCCGAGUGCCCUGAGACCCCAGACCCGAAUGAGAGACAGAGCCCUUGCCAAGUAUCCGGAAAUCCUAGAUGCAAAUUCACCCUAGAACCCUCCCCGAGAUUCCAGAGACCUCAGUCCCAAAUUAACCCCAGAGCCCUCUUAGAGUGCUCUGAUACCCCAGACCCAAAUUAACUCCAGAGCACUCCCUACGUGCCCGGAGACCCCAGAAAAAAAUUAAAUGCAGAGCUUUCCCAGAGAGCCCUGACAACCCAGACGCAAAUUAACUCCAGAUCCCUCUCCGAGCGCCCUGAGAUCACAGGCCAAAAUUCACCCCAGAGCCCUCCCCGAGCGCCCUGAGACCCCAGACCCUAAUGGGGGACAGAACCUUUUUAAAUUCCAUGAGACCCCAGAACCCAUUUAACCCCAGAGCCCUCCCAGAGUUCCCUGAGACCUUAGACCGAAAUGGGAGACACUAGAGCCCUCCCCGAGUUCCCUUAGAC
Molecule: long non-coding RNA, 1790 nt
Organism: Ficedula albicollis (Collared flycatcher)
Lineage: Eukaryota; Metazoa; Chordata; Aves; Passeriformes; Muscicapidae
Source: Ensembl